AUUUUAGGUAUUUAUGGAGGGUGGUGAAUAGUCAGCUGUAACUUGAGGGCAGGGGGACAGUGUCUUGAUUUAUCUUCAUGACCCCUCCGUAACCCUCCGACAAGUAUGAGACUGACAUAGACCCUGUGUAAUAAAUGGCCCUGAAAAGGCCAGGUUGCUUCCAUUGGACCAAUAAUCAAAAACUUGUUAAUUCCAGGAAGUAGUGUGCUCACUCUUGAAGCUUUGUUUGCCCUGUGUCAGGAGUGGCCUGAGUCAGCUGGCACGUGGGACAUGGAGUGACCAUGAUGGCUGGUUCUCUGGGGACUCAAUGAACAGAAUGGAAGAGCGCUGGGACCACACCGGAGCCCUGACGCUGAGCCAUGACAACCGGGAAGGAGUUGGUUUCUCAACACAGCUAGAAAAGCAUCUGCAUCAGGUCCCAGCCCCUGACUGAACCUACCAGAAGGGGCAGGAGAGAUGAAAGACAGAGGGCAGCGAACGUACCUUCAAAGCUCUUGAUUUUCCUCAAAAAGGCAUAACAAGUCAAGUGAAUUUUUUAAAAACACGAGGGAGAUGAGAAAGAGGGCUGAAUCACUACUUCAGGGCUACUUCCUGUGCCUGGAGACUGGGCACGAGCACACCGAACUGCAUCCCAGUGACGAAGCGCACGGAUGUCCUCUCCAGUCCCAGACAGCAGCGCCUGCUCCACUCGCCACCGGGGCCCUGUGGCCACUUCCUGGGUGGGAAACUUAGCAAGGCAACGUAUUUUUAUCAGCAGACGGAACAGCUAUGGGAAGAUGAGGGCAGAAAUCUAAGUUUUCCUUUGGGUCCUGUCCAUUAUUUUAGAAAACCCAAAGCUCCCACUGCUCCAAAUUAUUGGGGAUCUUUUGGCUUUUGUCACCCUGGGAACACAAGGCGGUGGUCAGGGUAGCAGCAACUGCAACAGAGCCCCGGUGUAAUUGUAAUGUCACUGUACUGCAGAGCUCCUUCUUCAGAGGCAUUGCCUGAUGAAAUAGAAAUCAUCUGAGCUUUAUUUAUUUGAGGGAGAGAGGGCGGGAGGGAGUGAGGGAGCAUGC
Canis lupus familiaris (dog) is the source of this 1055-nucleotide long non-coding RNA. RefSeq lists it as uncharacterized. Lineage: Eukaryota; Metazoa; Chordata; Mammalia; Carnivora; Canidae. The transcript has 4 exons. The record is from RefSeq and is a predicted model, not a curated record.